CUUACACAUGCAGUCGAGCGGGGAUAGGGUGCUUGCACCUGAUUCCUAGCGGCGGACGGGUGAGUAAUGCUUAGGAAUCUGCCUAUUAGUGGGGGACAACAUUCCGAAAGGGAUGCUAAUACCGCAUACGCCCUACGGGGGAAAGCAGGGGAUCUUCGGACCUUGCGCUAAUAGAUGAGCCUAAGUCGGAUUAGCUAGUUGGUGGGGUAAAGGCCUACCAAGGCGACGAUCUGUAGCGGGUCUGAGAGGAUGAUCCGCCACACUGGGACUGAGACACGGCCCAGACUCCUACGGGAGGCAGCAGUGGGGAAUAUUGGACAAUGGGGGGAACCCUGAUCCAGCCAUGCCGCGUGUGUGAAGAAGGCCUUUUGGUUGUAAAGCACUUUAAGCGAGGAGGAGGCGCCCUUGGUUAAUACCUAAGGUGCGUGGACGUUACUCGCAGAAUAAGCACCGGCUAACUCUGUGCCAGCAGCCGCGGUAAUACAGAGGGUGCGAGCGUUAAUCGGAUUUACUGGGCGUAAAGCGCGCGUAGGUGGCUAAUUAAGUCAAAUGUGAAAUCCCCGAGCUUAACUUGGGAAUUGCAUUCGAUACUGGUUAGCUAGAGUAUGGGAGAGGAUGGUAGAAUUCCAGGUGUAGCGGUGAAAUGCGUAGAGAUCUGGAGGAAUACCGAUGGCGAAAGCAGCCAUCUGGCCUAAUACUGACACUGAGGUGCGAAAGCAUGGGGAGCAAACA
This 732-nucleotide ribosomal RNA is filed under the name uncultured bacterium. RNAcentral describes it as "bacterial SSU rRNA". It matches the Rfam family "Bacterial small subunit ribosomal RNA", at positions 48 to 774 of the family's 1533-position model. The record is from RNAcentral.